UCUCUCUCCUCAUUCUCGCCGGAACCCGGAUUUCAACCAAAAUUUCCAGAUUUUAUCCUCUUCCUCCCCUCUUUCCAUUUCUCCAACCAAAAUCAAGAAAUUUGGCCAUUCAAUCCUCCAAAAACCUUAGAACCUGAAGCUAAUUUGGGGGUUUUUGUGAUUUCUUCUUUCCAAGCUUAAAUCAAGGCUAUGGGUUUGGCAAGGAUUUGUGGUGAAGAAGGCCAAGGAGAAGGAAUAGGCCGUGAUUUUUGACGAAGAAAGGGAAACGAUCGUUAAGGAAGCUUAAGCGAAAAUCAUCAGAGUGUGGAGUACGCAGCAUUUUCCAAGUAGGGUUACAACGAGGUCAUUCCGGACGAUUUAGAUUAGAAGUGGGUCGUUGGCAGAGUCUGUGUGUUGCUGUUCCUGUUGCUUGAAGUUCUUCCCUUUUGGUAUUCCAUCGAUUUACUCGCUUUUCUUUCAAUGUUGAACUCUGUGAGGUCCGCCUACCUGGGAGCUCACCUCAUCCCUUUGUUUUGUUGUUAUUGUUGAACUCCUUUCAUUUCAGUUAUGAUGUAAGCCCUAAGGCGCCACAGUGCACUUGCCCACUUUAUUUUUAAGCAUUUCCAGACUUGUUAAUUUGAGUAUUGGGUUGUUGAUUUAAAGUCCUUUCUUAAAAGUUUUUCUUGGUCUCCUAUUUUCUAAAAAUUGCAUUUUCAAAAAGACCUUGUAGUAUUAAGUUGGUAGGUCUACGGUAUGUCUAUGACGUAUCGAGCUCCUAUUGGCUUAAUAUUACAGAGCUGUAUUAUACCCAUUCUGGUCUCCACAUGAGGUGUGUAAUAUGUAUAUGUAAAUGGCUCAGAGAGAAACUGUGAUGCCAAAAAGAGACAUAGAAGCCGAUGAUAAAAUGGUUUGGCUACAUGAAAGAAACAAUUAUCAGGGUGAUAAAAGAUCUGCAGAGACACGUCAAAUUGGUAGUUAAAAAAUCAAUUUGUAGUUGCAAAACUAGUUAAGAAAUUAAUAGAGAAUGAUGGUGGGUUCAAUCAACAAUAGCAUACAAAUCAACCACUACGCAAAACCAUGAAUAUAAUUUUCAUUCUGUAGCUGCAUACUA
Molecule: long non-coding RNA, 1090 nt
Organism: Rosa chinensis
Lineage: Eukaryota; Viridiplantae; Streptophyta; Magnoliopsida; Rosales; Rosaceae
Exons: 5
Source: RefSeq, a predicted model, not a curated record